This 484-nucleotide ribosomal RNA is filed under the name uncultured bacterium. RNAcentral's name for it is "partial 16S ribosomal RNA". It matches the Rfam family "Bacterial small subunit ribosomal RNA", at positions 30 to 507 of the family's 1533-position model. The record is from RNAcentral.
AUUGAACGCUGGCGGCAUGCCUUACACAUGCAAGUCGAACGGCAGCACGGGUGCUUGCACCUGGUGGCGAGUGGCGAACGGGUGAGUAAUACAUCGGAACAUGUCCUGUAGUGGGGGAUAGCCCGGCGAAAGCCGGAUUAAUACCGCAUACGAUCUACGGAUGAAAGCGGGGGACCUUCGGGCCUCGCGCUAUAGGGUUGGCCGAUGGCUGAUUAGCUAGUUGGUGGGGUAAAGGCCUACCAAGGCGACGAUCAGUAGCUGGUCUGAGAGGACGACCAGCCACACUGGGACUGAGACACGGCCCAGACUCCUACGGGAGGCAGCAGUGGGGAAUUUUGGACAAUGGGCGAAAGCCUGAUCCAGCAAUGCCGCGUGUGAAGAAGGCCUUCGGGUUGUAAAGCACUUUUGUCCGGAAAGAAGUCCUUGGCCCUAAUACGGUCGGGGGAUGACGGUACCGGAAGAAUAAGCACCGGCUAACUACGUG